CAAAUAUCUGCCCUAUCAACUUUCGAUGGUAGGAUAGUGGCCUACCAUGGUUUGUUACGGGUAACGGGGAAUAGGGUUCGAUUCCGGAGAGGGAGCCUGAGAAAACGGUACCACAUCCAAGGAAGGCAGCAGGCGCGCAAAUUACCCAAUCCCAAUUCGGGGAGGUAGUGACAAUAAAUAACAAUAUAGGGCUCUUUUGGGUCUGUAUAAUUGGAAUGAGUACAAUUUAAAUCACUUAACGAGGAACAAUUGGAGGGCAAGUCCUGGUGCCAGCAGCCCGGGUAAUUCCAGCUCCAAUAGCGUAUAUUAAAGUUGUUGCAGUUAAAAAAGCUCGUAGUUGAAAUUUGGGCCUGG
RNAcentral lists this ribosomal RNA (354 nucleotides) under uncultured fungus. RNAcentral describes it as "SSU rRNA". It matches the Rfam family "Eukaryotic small subunit ribosomal RNA", at positions 300 to 650 of the family's 1831-position model. The record is from RNAcentral. Lineage: Eukaryota; Fungi.